UAGGGAAUCUUCCGCAAUGGACGCAAGUCUGACGGAGCAACGCCGCGUGAGUGAAGAAGGAUUUCGGUUCGUAAAACUCUGUUGUUAGAGAAGAACAGCGCAUAGAGUAACUGUUAUGCGUGUGACGGUAUCUAACCAGAAAGCCACGGCUAACUACGUGCCAGCAGCCGCGGUAAUACGUAGGUGGCAAGCGUUGUCCGGAUUUAUUGGGCGUAAAGCGAGCGCAGGCGGUCAAUUAAGUCUGAUGUGAAAGCCCCCGGCUCAACCGGGGAGGGUCAUUGGAAACUGGUUGACUUGAGUGCAGAAGAGGAGAGUGGAAUUCCAUGUGUAGCGGUGAAAUGCACAGAGAUAUGGAGGAACACCAGUGGCGAAGGCGACUUUCUGGUCUGUAACUGACGCUGAUGUGCGAAAGCGUGGGGAUCAAACAGG
This 429-nucleotide ribosomal RNA is filed under the name Bacteroidota bacterium. RNAcentral's name for it is "Bacteroidetes bacterium partial 16S ribosomal RNA". It matches the Rfam family "Bacterial small subunit ribosomal RNA", at positions 355 to 776 of the family's 1533-position model. Lineage: Bacteria; Pseudomonadati; Bacteroidota. The record is from RNAcentral.